RNAcentral lists this ribosomal RNA (470 nucleotides) under uncultured bacterium. RNAcentral describes it as "partial 16S ribosomal RNA". It matches the Rfam family "Bacterial small subunit ribosomal RNA", at positions 28 to 505 of the family's 1533-position model. The record is from RNAcentral.
GACGAACGCUGGCGGCGUGCUUAACACAUGCAAGUCGAACGAUGAACCCGGAGCUUGCUCUGGGGGAUUAGUGGCGAACGGGUGAGUAACACGUGAGUAACCUGCCCUGGACUCUGGGAUAAGCGUUGGAAACGACGUCUAAUACCGGAUAGGACCUUGGAUCGCAUGAUCUGGGGUGGAAAGUUUUUUCGGUCUGGGAUGGACUCGCGGCCUAUCAGCUUGUUGGUGAGGUAAUGGCUCACCAAGGCGUCGACGGGUAGCCGGCCUGAGAGGGUGACCGGCCACACUGGGACUGAGACACGGCCCAGACUCCUACGGGAGGCAGCAGUGGGGAAUAUUGCACAAUGGGCGAAAGCCUGAUGCAGCAACGCCGCGUGCGGGAUGACGGCCUUCGGGUUGUAAACCGCUUUUAGUAGGGAAGAAGGGCUUCGGCUUGACGGUACCUGCAGAAAAAGGACCGGCUAACUACG